Rhopilema esculentum is the source of this 11383-nucleotide non-coding RNA. Lineage: Eukaryota; Metazoa; Cnidaria; Scyphozoa; Rhizostomeae; Rhizostomatidae. The record is from RefSeq and is a predicted model, not a curated record.
CCUUCAUGUAAGAAUUACAAACUUUUUACCCAAACAUGUUUGUUGGCCAAAUUCAAAAUUAGCUAUGAAAAUAUGCGAAACAAAUUUUUUCUACGAAGGCGCUUUCUUAGAAAAGUUUAAAUAUGCAGAAAAUCCUUUCCGCUCAUUGGCUGUAAUUUUGUGCGCCAUUUUUAAUUUAUUUCUAGAAGACUAAACUACAGUGCGAAAGGUUAGAAACAUUGCUAAUGGCUCCUGCAACUUUUAAAAGCUCGGGAAAUGUAAAUUAUUCUAAACUGAAAUGGGAAGCAGACUAUUUUCAUGCCCAAGUCAAGGGAUUGCUCUGACUGACCCAAGGUCAAAACACGUGGGAUAGAAUGCAGCAAAGGUUUAUGGAGCGAGAAUCGAAAGUUCCUGCUGCUUCUCCCAUGAAUCCUGUAACAAUUGAUCUCAUUGGCGAGCAAUCUGCUGUUUCAAGAUUCACCUUUCCAUGGCCUUUUUCCCGAAGUCGUUCAUGGAGAUUUAGCGUUAUCCAAAUGUUUGCUCGGAUAUUUACUCGCAGGAACAGACGGAUUUACAAUUGUUUGCCACGGUUAAAAUAGUAUACAGAUGCCAAUCUGCUUUGAGAGGAAUGAAAUAUCUGACAAGAGAAUAAAAAUAUGCCCCAUUUAAAUAAAAGACGCUGUUGGUUGACGAGUAAUCAAAGAAGAAGCUAUAAUAAAUAUUUGGGUUGUAUGAUUUUUUUUAACUAUCAACUUUGUUCUGGGUGUAAAGGUUGGAAGUGAUAGCAUUCGGGAUGAGAAAUGAAAAACUGGUGGGUAUUCCAAGUACUUUUGUCAGGCACAAUCUGUGGUAAAAUGUUUGCUUUUUUAAAACCACCGUUAUAAGACAUGGUAAAAAUUUUGUUGCAACUCAAGCAAACAAUGGUAUCAGGAUUACACAAAAAAGGUGCUGAUAAUAUAUGUUUUCUUCAAAUUCUACUUAACUUAAGGCUAAAGUUGACUUACCUCAAUUGCAUAAGCAGGUGGAUGCUCAUAUGACAUGUUACCAGGGGUGUUGCCUUUCACUGCCCAUCCAAAGCCAUUCAGUCUGCCAUCGUUGUACAAGAGGAAAACCGGUAAGAAAUCUUCGUACUUCAUAUAUGAUGUAACAUUGUACCAAUAAUGCGUGCCUAUGUAGGGAUGGCAAUAGUGAAUUAAGGAUGAUUCUGAUUUAUUUUGGAAUUAAUCUCGUUACAUUUACUUUGAUGAAGCCUAGUAUGCUGAGGCGAAAUAUUAGUAUAAAUGUAAUUUAUUUUAAAAGUCUAUUUUUUUAACAUUAGAUUCUAGUCGUCAUUUUGCAUUUUUCUAGUCUAUUGCCUUGUAUCAUAUCAUUUCUAACUGCAAGAUUAAGAGAAUGUAGCGGACAGCCUAUUCUGCGUUUCUUCCAUCUUAUUAUUUAGGUUUCCUAAAUGUACCGUUGUAGGUGAGUAUUAUUGCAAGAAUCGAAAAACUUUGUGUUGUAUUUUAGAUCUAUAAAUAGAUAGGCAAAUUCCAAAAUUUGCCAGAAAGAGAGUUCUUAAGUGUGACGACACAAUAAUACUUUCUUAGAGUGUUUACCUUUUACCACAUAGCCUGAUUAAUUCAUGAAAUCUCAGCAAAAUUGGUUGUAAUGUGACUAGUUAGAAGACUGUUUUAGUUUGAUGUUUGACUUGAUGAAGCCAACAUUUGAAUUUUGCUAACAAAUUGGUGUUAUUUUGGCAUCUUUAAAUCAAGACAAAAUUCCAAAAAAGAAGUCUGUGCGCAUAUAACGAAAUCUCAGCCAGUUUAAAACACACUUGACUGGUUUGAAACAAGUUUAAAAAAAUUGUGAUGGUGCUCUUACAGGUUAUGCAGUCCAAUUUCAAAAAUUGUAUAAAUAUAUAUAUCUAUAUAAAUUGAAUCUACAUUUACUAAACUAGCACAGUAAACUUGAGAAAUCUUCAGCUCAGAUGUCACAUAGCCUCAAACAAUUUUUGACCAAAGUCUGGAAUUUUGCUAUAAUUAUUUUGAUAAUUGUAUGCUUGCUAACGUUAAAUUGGGUCACCGUCUAUUAACCCUUUGUAAAAACAUUUAGUGCAAACAAUUUGCAUCGGAUUUCAUCCUUGGUUUUUUAACACUGCUGUACAUAUUAUUAUGGUAUUUAAUCAUUUUUCCUAUCUCGAUUUUUUAUUUUUGUUUUUCAAUUGUAACUUACCCAUUCCAUUAAAACAAUGGCCAAUGACCCAAUUUGUGUUCUUCAAAUUCUGCUGAAGCAAUGGUACUUUGAGCACGUGAUUCUUAUUGGAUCCGACUUGGAUGUAAAGCGAAUUGCCAAUGCAGUGUCUUUCUGAAGGCGCCUUGUCCCAGCAUAUGUUUUCUGGCUGAGUGAAGUAAGCUGUUAAAUGGUACCUCGUAUUCUCUUCUUGGAACAUUUCCUUGUAGUGUUUUGGAACCUCGAUUGUAUUUGGAAACUGCAUGAAAUAAGCAUCAAGAUAGCUAACAUCGCCAAGCCAUACUGCCAAAAGUUCCUUUUUUCUCGGAGCUGACACACUUUUUUUCGAAUUAUAACUUCUCAUUACAAUGUAUACCCAAACAUAUAUAAAAUUAUUGGCAAUGUGAUGAAGGCCUAUCGCAAAAUGAAGUGGUAAAUUAAAUCUUCCAUGACAAUUUUUUAAAGUUUUGGCAAUAAAUGCCGUCAUUUCAGCCACUUCACAACUAAAUAUUAUUUCUCUUGUACCAAAAAUCAGCAGUACACAAAAGUCCUGACAGUAACUAACAAACUUUCACAAAAAUUUGUCUAAUGUCCCAAUAGAAACUUUAAAAAGGUUGGGAAAGCUAGAUAUUAGAACCAUCUUUGUUUCUUCAAAAGCUUUAUUUUAGAUAUUGGCAUUCUGUUUUUUGUUUAUAUGUGAAAAAGUUAGCUUUUUUCAGCAUUUUUGUGAGUUUUCAAGUUUAUACCAUAUAUUUUAGCAGUUUUUAUUGAACUUUAGCGUUAACGAAACUGAGAUGUUUUGGUUUACUAUAGAAAUUGUCAUUCAAAUCAUACAAAAUGUUUGCAAAAUCUUAACAAAAUCAUACGAAAAUCUUACCCAGGUUUACUUCCUGUCUAUUUGCUUUACUGUAAUCAACCUUUAUCAAUCAAUCAAUCAAUCAAUCAAUCAAUCAAUCAAUCAAUCAAUCAUACCAAUCAAUCAAUCAAUCAAUCAAUCAAUCAAUCAAUCAAUCAAUGUUUUGGCUUACUAUAGAAUACUCUGUCUCGAAUUCCUUUUUGGUCUUCCAAAAUGAUUCUUUAAGAAAGAGCAAGGCUUGUUGACCGUACUGUAAGAUCUGGAAAUUCUACAUUUGCUGGUCAGUUUCUUUAAAGUGCCAUAUGUUGCUAGAUAGUGCCAGUGGCUUAGGUGUUUCAAAGUAGGUAGACGUUCUGGCAAACAUGUGAAUUGUUUUUUUAUGAAAAUUAAAUAAAAUGACCAGAGGUUCAAAAAUUCUUAAAAUGUUAACAUGAUGUCCGUUGAGGUAUCUUAUCAACAAAAUCCAAUUUUUAGUAUUUGUCUCUACGUUUUUCUUUUUUUUAUAUCUCAGCUUUUACUAGCAUCAUAGAUAUGAGAAAUGCUGACGUAUCCAGCAAAUUAGUACAAACCACCGACUGAAUUCCAGCCAAUUUGUUGUUUUCGCCAAAAAGAAUGUAUGGCAUUUCUGAUCCUGGAAGCUCCCAACGUUUGCCAACGAAAUAAGAAUGAUCUACAAAACAAAAAUUGUUCUAAGCAAAAAAAUUGUGAUUGCUAAUUAAAUGGAAGAGACUGCAUGACAGCGACUUUUUUUAGAUUUAUGAAAUUUUGUGAGAAACAAUGUAAGUUUUAUGUUUCGCUUCUUUUUAAUCUAGUACGAGGUUGGUUAAGUGGGGAUGGAUCAAAUGUGCUUUUAAAAGAUGUGAACUGGUAAUUCAUACCUAGAUCAUACCAAAGCUGGAAUCUAUUUUUAUCUUAUCAAAUUGUCAUUCAAAUCAUACAAAAUUUUUGCAAAUUCUUAACAAAAUCAUACGAAAAUCUUACCCAGGUUUACUUCCUGUCUAUUUGGUUUACUGUAAUCAACCUUUAUCAAUCAAUCAAUCAAUCAAUCAAUCAAUCAUACCAAUCAAUCAAUCAAUCAAUCAAUCAAUCAAUCAAUCAAUCAAUCAAUCAAUCAAUCAAUCAAUCAAUCAUAAUCAUUUCUAAAAAGCCAGGAAGACCCAAUUCAUUACCUUUACAAGACCUUGCAUCUUUCUUUACCCAUCCUUGCUCUACUGCUUGUUCGAUUGUUAUUGGAAGGUUCAUCCGAUUUGGAAAUUUGACUAGAACAUAUCAAAACAGUGGUACUUCAGUGAAUUGUCGAGAUCCUUCGUUUAUCUAUUAUUUUCUUUUUCAUUAUUUCUAUUGUAUUUCUUGUAGAUCUGCAAACUUGAAAUUAAGAGAAAAUGUAAGGGAUCCAGAAACAGGGAACUACAUGUAAACAUCAUGAGUAGCUUGGUGUAUGAAAAAAUCUGUACAUAAGUAAACAUUGAGAGGUCUCUCAUCUCUAAUGUAGGUUUUCAAGUUUUCAAUUCUCUGCUAGAGCUUAAUUUCGUGUUAAAUGUUUAUGAAAUGGGUCAGUGUUGUGGCCAGUGCCAGCUUAGCUCAGAAAAUUGCAUUUACGUUGGCGUUCAAAAAAGUUGUUUCGCUUUAAUCGUAUGUAUGCACAAAGGGGUUCAUUUGCCUAUUUUCUGUAAGUGAAUUGACGAGGUUGUGCUAGUGUAGAAAAGAAUUUGAGAAAAUUUAAUUCGAGAGUAAUUUUAAUGAGGGACAAGAUCUGACAAGACCAGGGCAGGACUCGAACCCUCUACCAAUAACAAUGUACGUCGUUGCUCUUCACUGAGAAAUUUUACGUACAAGGUUACCAGUCCUGGUCAUCCAUUAUCUGGGGCAAAAAGGCAUCGACUUUGGUCAAUUCUUUUUAACGGGUUGUGCAGAGCAUGACUGGUAAAAGAAAUUUUAUCCAUGCAGAGUCACAUUGCUUUUGUUUAAAUUUAAGUACAAAUUAAUUGCUUGUAAAAUUUCCACUAUGAUAAAGUAAGUAAUGGGGUUGAUUUAAAAGGCCCUUUCCUUGCCUUGCAGUUGAACAAGGUUGACUCGUUUUAAGUAUUUUGUUAAAGAAUCAGUUGAAGCGAAUGCUGUUAGAAAUAUUUACACAAAAAAGAAUACUGAGUUUAGAUCGCAGUAUUUGAGGAUUUGGCAGGUCCUCUUUAAGCUUUGUUGGUUUGUCUCGAAGUCGCAGAACUAAAAUUAUGCAGAUGGCUCAGUGGUUAGAGUCGCUGACAACAGUUCCAAGGGUAUGUGGUUUGAGUACCUGAUAUGAUUUUAAAUUUUCCCUGAGGAGUUUGGAGAGUCUCCAGCCCUCUGUUAUUCCAUGCGUUGAACUCAUAAGGUGUGGUCACAUCGCGAGGAUGAACCAGGACACUGCUCGAUAAGUCCAGCUUCUCAGUGUCGUGAAAUUUACUUUUCGAAAACUUUCCAGUAUCAAAAAUAAACAGAGACCUCAUUAACACUUGUCACUUAACUGCUUUUUUCUCUUGGAACAAGAUACGAAUUCAAAAUUUACUAACUCUGAAACGUACCUGACAAGGCAUCCCAAUCAUUUAUACCUAAAAUGAGAAAAAAACCAAAUGUUUUUGGAUCCAAACAAUCAACAUGUAAGCAGUAGAGGUUUUUAUGCCAAUAAGAAAACUAGUGGGAAAGUUUUUCUUGCAAUGUUAUUCAACAAGGCCAGGAAUACAUAGCCCUAAAGCCAUACCAGUAACUUUCAAUAUCUGAAGGGCUUUUUGCUCUCUGAAAAGGAGUUUAAUCGUUUGUGAAAUUCGCCCAGAAGAUGGAAAGCCACUUUUCUGGACGCACAAAUAUGAUCCCAAUGAUGACGUCAUAAAAUUUAAAUUAAAUUUCCUGAAGUUGAAAAAUAUUAUCUUAAAGGGAAUGAACGGAUACAAAAAUAGGCGAAACUACACAUCUAUUGAUAGGCGACCAAUCAUGAUAAAAUUUCCCCUUGUCAAACACUGUAUCCAGAUUUGUUCUAUGAUAUAGCUUAAUGCCAUUUCAAAUUGAAUAGAGUUUGAAGUUAUUUUUAGAAAAAUGGGAGAAAUGUCCGUUGAUUCUCUUUAAGGAACACCAUAAAUACCACUAAAUGUAUGAAAUGAAUUAAAUCUGCUCAAAGCUGUUUCAGGUAUGGCGAAACAAGCACAGGAUUCUUCCACAUCAAACCAGUGUACAUGAAACCACUGCGUUCUAAAUCUUAUGAACCAAGCCAAAACAACUGUAACCCAUGUGCAAAACUCGCAACCUUUACUAACUGACCAUAUUUUAGAAUAUAUUUAGCUGAUAUUAAAGUUUUACACCGUGUCUCUUUGACAGUGUGGUCAAAAUUCUAUGAAAUCAAAAAAUCUCGUUAACCUAUGCAAUGUUAAUUGGCGAUGUUAAUUUGUUUUUAGUCGUAGAAUCUUUCAUUAUAAUUCACCGAAAUUCCAGUAAAGAGAGCUUUCUCUCUUCGAAAACGUUCUGCAAAUCGCAGAAAAGCACUCACUAUCAAACAAAGAGGCACAAUAAAAGUGAUUUCCUUUUCCAUGGUACCGUGCUAUUUUUGUUGCUUUCUUCAAUCUUCUAUAGAAAGUGGUGAAGGUUUUAACAUAGACAGGUAUGAUAUGAGCGUUCCUUUCUUUCGUUUUGCAGGGCAAGCAAAGUUCUGUUAGCUGCAAUCGUUUACUAUUAUCGCAAAAGUGUUGUGAAUCAGCUCCGUUUCUCGUGAACGGAGUUUUCCUUCUGCCUUUCAUCUAUUUUAUUACACUGGCUUCGCUAUGGAUGGAAAAGCAUCGUCGUUAUCACAUAGCUUAAUUGAAGCAUUGUUGCGUAUCACGUUUGUCGCUUGCUACCUAUUAACACAGUCGCUAAGCAAGGGCGUCAUUUUAAAGUGCUAUGAGAUAAGCGCACUUUAUCCGUAACGAAAUGCUUGCUGACAUUAUCUUACCUUUGCAUUUGUGUUUUUAAGCAGCAGUAAAGCUACUUUUUACUAACUCUGUCAUUGGAGCUGUUUGAGCGCUAUUAUGAAUUGAAAAUGUUUGACACAAAGGUCAAGGCACCAGUGAGUCCAAUACAUGCUUAGAGGAAAUGCCUGUUAGAGAGAACACGUGUCCUGGGCAACUUCAUGAUAAGGUAGAUUCGCCAUUUCCUAUCUUUGCGGCUUAUCGCUUCCGAAUAUGACUAUGGGUACAAUUUGCUGCUUUUGGACAAAAGACGAACGUCUAGACAAACAAGACAAGUGCUGAACAUUGUAUGAACAUGAAGAUGGCACGAAAAAGAGGAAAUGUAUCACCCUUCAAAGUUAUAACGUCAGACAAAAUAAAACAACAAAAACAAACUAACCAAUCAAACGCGUCUUUCUUUAUCUCACGUUACUUUCGAUCCACACCUUGAUAUAAAUUUCCGCUUACCUUCGGUCAUUGUCCGACGUCAAUAUUCUGAAGAUUGUCAGACGAAAUGAACUUCAGUAAUCAAUGCUAUGUUCCCGCUAUUUCGUGGUAUCUUUUGCGGUACCAAAAACUUUUUUUCUUUAAGAACAGUUCUUUCAAUUAUUGCUAAUUCUAGCUAUUUUUAUCACAGUUAUUCGUUAAUUAUGUAACACAAAAAGAAAAAAAAUGUGCAAUCGCGGCUUCCUUGAUUAAGGAAAGUUGAAGUGUAGCUUUUCAUAGAUACUGGAAUAGCCAACAAUAGAAUCUUGAAAAAGCCAAUCAAACAACACGUUUUGUGCUUAUAAUUAUGCUUCUAUAAAUAAUGCGUUUUAUGCUUUUAUAUAAUUUAUGUAAAACUAUAAAAUGACAACAGUUGAGGACAACAGCUAUGCUGGAAUAAGGGGAACCAAACAUAGUAGUUUAAUUUGAAAAAACCUUUCAUUUCUAUCGUUGUUAUGAAAAUACGUUAGCUGGGUUUGACAAGGAUGUAUUCUAGGUACACUUAUGUUGGAAAGUGCCAUGACUGAAAAGUUGACGUUUGCAGGUUCGAAUCAAAGUUCGACUUUUGGUCUAGACGUUCAUCUUUUGUCCAAAAGCAGAAAAUUGUAAGAUAUAUAGGAACAAAGCAAUACGACGACGAUAAUCCAAUGUCACGAGAUAAAAUUUUCAAGAUAAAUUAAAUUUAAAGAAUAUACUAAUAUUUCGCCCCGGCAUACAGGGCUUUAUCUUUCAUAACAACACUCAUUGCAAGAUUCACAGAAUCCGGCGGACAGCCUAUCCUGCGGUUCUUCCUUCUCAUACAGAAAAUUGUACCCAUACUUGUACGUGCGUUGGCGAUAAGCUGCAAAGAUAUGAAUCGGCGAAUCAACCUUAUCAUGAAGUUGCCCAGGACACGUGUUCUCUCUAACAGGCAUUUCCUCUAAGCAUGUAUUGGACUCAUUGGUGCCUUGACGUCUGUAUCAAACAAUUUCAAUUCAUAAUAGCUCCCAAAUCAUGCAUUUUGGUUGGUAAAAAAAGAGAGAACAUCAAUCGAGUUAUGGUAUACAAAUCAUUGACGAUUUUUUUUUCAUUGCUUCAGAUCCAAUGUAUCUAUUCUAAAUAACCACCCUCUUAAAUUCUUGUUACCUAUGGAAACUUGAAUUAAAUGACAAAUCUUAUACGUACAACGGUUUGCUUGACUGCUUCCCCCAACUGUUUCUGUUAUCGCAACCAUAAAGACGAUGAUUGCACCCAGCGCCAUCUUGCUAGCUUGCCUUCUGCUGUAUAAUCAACCUGCACUCUGAUCUUAUACUGUAGCAUCAACAAAAAGAUUAGUACUUCUUUUAUAAACACCAGAUAUCAAGUAAUUUUGGUGGUCUAGCCGGGGGUGCUGCCUUUAUGCAUCAAGAACCGUCUGAGAUAUUUAGGGCAUAGACAAGUGCAAACUAACCCUAGGAAUUGAAGAGGGUUAAAAGCAGAAGCGGACUGGCCCACCGGGACACCGGGAAAUUUCCCGGUGCGCCCUCUGCCCCAAGUUAUUUUUUUCAAAAACAAGAAAACUUUCAAAAUGCAACUAAUUUUCGCAGAGAACUAAAAUUGACUACAAUCAUCAAUUGCCCAAAGUACGUUUGCAUCAAAAGUUUAGCUUCACCUUUAAGUUGAGCAAUAUUAAGAUUGAUAGCAAAGUUUCCCAAUCUGCCAAUUCUGCAAGAUUUUCUGAAAACCUUGUAAAGAACAUAUUUUGCUUUGAAAAUGACUUUGAUAAAAGAAAUUUUCUUAAACAUACUAGAAGCUUUUUUGUCUGAAACUCCUCAGAGUAUAAAACGUCUUGUAAUUUGGUUAACUUGUUAUUUUUUCAAGCAAGUGCACAAUAUUUGAAUUAAUUCAAUUUCUGUUGAGGGGGUAGUAGGGAUUUUCACUAGUUAACUAGCAGACUAUUUGCCAAUUGACUGAUGACUAAUAAUUUUGUGAAACCAAUGACUUCUGACUAACAAUAUUAGUUUUUUGACUUAUGGCUGAUGCAAAUUAAUCCUAGUGCCUGAUAUCCAAUAACUGACGGCUCGCGCUUUGAAAAAAAAUUAGCUGAGCACUACCAUGUGUUCUUUCUAGUCAGAAUGGCUGUAACUGGAUAAAACUAUCGAUGUGUUGGCUAUUGGGUACGUUCACAUAUUAUGUAAUCAAAGAUGGGGAGGGGGGAUUUACAUAAACUUUAUGGCUAUUACGGUCUACCUAAAUCUUCUGGGCUACCUAAACCUCCCCAAUUUUUUUGGUUCAAAGACCCACCUUUACACGCAUAUUAACACUGUUGGGAUGAUUUUUCACUAACUAAUGGAGUUAUUGUCAAGCAUCUUAAUAAGGAGGGGAACUACCCCAGUAAUGCUUUUGUCAUUCCUGUUUCCCUCUGUAUUGAUAGGUAUUCAUAGUAACACUUUUUCUGGCCAUUUGGGGGUAAAACGGACGUUAUCACGAGCCAGAAGCCGAUUUUACUGGCCUCGAAUGACCAUCCAAAUUAAGGAAUUCAUUGUCUCACACAAGUCUCACACAACAGCUUAUCACCCCCUAUGUGAUGGUGUCGUAGAGAGACAAAAUCGUACAUUACAAGACAUGCUCUCUACUUUUGUGUCUAAGCACAAGGACGACCGGGACCUGUGGGUUAAUCUGGCCGUUUUCGCAUAUAACACAAGUCGCCACGAUUCCAUCGGUUUCAGUCCCUAUGAUCUUGUAUUUUGGAGAGUUGCUAGAACACCAGUUGAGGUUGAUCUAGGUUUGCCAGUAAAAAAUCCAGCUAUUCAGUAGAUCUACCCAACAUGAAACAGGCCCUCCUCAAUCUACCUGGGUACCCCUGCGUGUAGGCCAGUUUGUCUGGCUGCAUCACCCCCAAGACAUGGAAAUUCGGAAAACGCUGGGUAGGCUCAUACAUAAUUUUAGAAAGAACUGGGGUCAAUUAUAAAAUUAAGUCUAAAUAUGGUAACAUGCUGUUGUUCACCACAACAAUGUUAAGUCUUGCUCUGUACCUUUUACAGAAGGUGAACCCACUUACCCGGUCAAGGAACUGCCAGGUAUUGAGUUUUUACCUGGGAGUGUUGAAAACAACACAGAAAAUGUUGGAGAGCCAGAAGAAAACCGUGACCUUCAGCUUUUCCGUCGUCCAGCCCAUUUAAGUAACCCUGUGACCUGGUAUGGCCUUUAUGCUGGUGAUGUUAUCGUGAAGAAAAAAGUGCUUUUUUGAACAAACGGCAACUGUUAAAGCUAUUACUGAAGAAUUUUCCUGAAGGAGCAUGUCUGGUUCUUGCGUCAACAAAUGCAGGCUGUUGGUCAUUUCAUGUACAAUCAUAACCGUAGUUCAUGAAAAGGCUUAUCACGACCAUGCCUACUUUUGGUAACUAUUUUGUUACUAUUUGUUACUAAUUGUAUCCUCUUGUCUCUCUUUUGUUUUGGAGUAAAUUCACCACUUUUAAAAAGGGUUUUCUCCAAUGUGAUUAUCUUCAAAUUCAAAUAAAAAAGUGAUAUUUGUUUAAACCGGUAGGUGGGAUUUACGAGGGUUGCUUUGGACAGAUCAGGGUAGAUGUGCAUAAUUGCCGCCUUUUUAAAAUAUAAUGUGUGAGAAGGAAGAACCGCAGGAUAGGCUGUCCACCGGAUUCUGUGAAUAUUGCAAUGAGUAUAAUAAACAUACGAGGAUAAUUUGUUUCUGAAUUUUAUCCUUGUAUUUCUAAAAUCUGUCUGUUCUACUGAUAUUACUGAACAUUUAUCAUAGUAACACACUCAAUGCAUAUUAUUCUACAUACCGUUUUUAGCAUUAUUCCUUAUGAAAAAUUACUUACAGAGUAAUUCAAUCUAUUUUAGGACAACAACGCUUCUAAUCUAUGUCACAAUGUAAAGUCAAAAAUAUCAAAACCAUAAGAAAGAUAUAUUUAAUUACCAUCGC